RNAcentral lists this ribosomal RNA (2003 nucleotides) under metagenome. RNAcentral describes it as "bacterial LSU rRNA". It matches the Rfam family "Bacterial large subunit ribosomal RNA", at positions 1 to 1993 of the family's 2925-position model. The record is from RNAcentral.
GGAUGCUACUAAGGGUGUAUGGGGGAUACCUUGGCAGUUAGAGGCGAUGAAGGACGUUUGUAUAGCAGCGAUAUGCUUCGGCGAGUGGUUAAACACGCAUUGACCCGGAGAUUUCCGAAUGGGGAAACCCUGUCAUGUGAAAGCAUGGCAAUCCACGACUGAGUAAAGUAGGUCGUGAGAAGCAAACUCAGGGAACUGAAACAUCUAAGUACCUGAAGGAAAAGUAAUCAAUUGAGAUUCUGCUAGUAGCGGCGAGCGAACGUGGAAUAGCCCAAACCAAUUAGCUUGCUAAUUGGGGUUGUAGGACUUGCGUAAAGGUGAUGAUAUUAGAAGAACUAGUUGGGAAACUAGACCAAAGAGGGUGAAAGUCCCGUAUUUGAAGGUUGAUUCACUGGGCGAGUAUCCUGAGUAGGACGGGGCACGUGAAACCUUGUCUGAAUCUGGGGGGACCACCCUCCAAGGCAAAAUACUACUAACUGACCGAUAGUGAACAAGUACCGUGAGGGAAAGGUUAAAAGAACCCCGANGAGGGGAGUGAAAUAGAACUUGAANCCAUACACUUACAANCAGUGGAAGGGCUAUUGUAAAGCCUGACUGCGUACCUCUUGCAUUAUGAGUCGCCGAGUUACGAUGUGUAGCAAGGUUAAGCCGUUGAAGGUGUAGCCGUAGGGAAACCGAGUCUUAAUAGGGCGAAUUAGUUGCAUGUCGUAGACCCGAAACGGGAUGAGCUAACCAUGAGCAGGUUGAAGCGAGGGUAAGACUUCGUGGAGGACCGAACCCAUAUAGGUUGAAAACUGUUGGGAUGACUUGUGGCUAGGGGUGAAAGGCCAAUCAAAUUCCGUGAUAGCUGGUUCUCUUCGAAAUGCAUUUAGGUGCAGCGUCUAGUGUUUACCAUCGGGGGUACAGCACUGAAUUGGCUAGGGGGCUUACCAGCUUACCAAACCAUAUCAAACUCAGAAUACCGAUGAGUAUAACUAGGCAGUGAGACUGCGGAUGCUAAGGUCCGUAGUCGAAAGGGAAAGAGCCCAGACCGUCAGCUAAGGUCCCUAAAUCAUAUCUAAGUGGGAAAGGUUGUGAGAUUACUUUGACAUCCAGGAGGUUGGCUUAGAAGCAGCCAUCCUUUAAAGAAAGCGUAAUAGCUCACUGGACUAGUGAUUUUGCGCCGAAAAUGUAACGGGGCUAAAGAUAUGUACCGAAGCUACGGACUAAUUUAUUAGUGGUAGAAGAGCAUUGUGUUUACCGACGAAGGCGUACUGAUAAGGAGCGCUGGAGGUCCCACAAGAGCUGAUGGCGACAUGAGUAGCGAUAAGGAGUGUGAGAAUCACUCCCGCCGAAAAUCUAAGGGUUCCUGGGCCAGGUGACUCCGCCCAGGGUAAGUCGGAUCCUAAGGUGAGGCCGAAAGGCGUAAUCGAUGGGUAACAGGUUAAUAUUCCUGUACUUAGUAUUGUUCGUUUGACUUAAGGAAUGACGGAGAAAGGUAGCGGAUCCACCUGUUGGAUGGUGGUUUAAGCAUGUAGGGGGGCGUUUUAGGAAAAUCCGGAACGCUGUUAACUCUGAGAUGUGAUGACGAGGGCGUAGCCCGAAGUUCGUGAUCCUCUGCUUCCAAGAAAAGUUUCGUAAGGAGAACAGUAUUAAUCCGUACCGUAAACCGACACAGGUAGAUGAGGAGAGAAUCCUCAGGCGUUUGGGGUAACUCUAGUUAAGGAACUCUGCAAAUUGGUGCCGUAACUUUGGGAGAAGGCACGCCCUUGAUGGUGACAUCACUUGCUGAUGAAGCUGUUGAGGGCCGCAGUGAAAAGGGGGUAGCGACUGUUUAUCAAAAACAUAGGUCUCUGCAAACUCGUAAGAGGAAGUAUAGGGACUGACGCCUGCCCGGUGCUGGAAGGUUAAGAGGAGAGGUUAGGGUAACCGAAGCUUUGAAUCGAAGCCCCAGUAAACGGCGGCCGUAACAAUAACGGUCCUAAGGUAGCGAAAUUCCUAGUCGGGUAAGUUCCGACCUGCAC